RNAcentral lists this ribosomal RNA (284 nucleotides) under Roseburia faecis M72/1. Its description in RNAcentral is "partial 16S ribosomal RNA". It matches the Rfam family "Bacterial small subunit ribosomal RNA", at positions 491 to 776 of the family's 1533-position model. The record is from RNAcentral. Lineage: Bacteria; Bacillati; Bacillota; Clostridia; Lachnospirales; Lachnospiraceae.
UAUUUUCCUUGUGUGCCAGCCGCCGCGGUAAUACGUAUGGUGCAAGCGUUAUCCGGAUUUACUGGGUGUAAAGGGAGCGCAGGCGGUGCGGCAAGUCUGAUGUGAAAGCCCGGGGCUCAACCCCGGUACUGCAUUGGAAACUGUCGUACUAGAGUGUCGGAGGGGUAAGUGGAAUUCCUAGUGUAGCGGUGAAAUGCGUAGAUAUUAGGAGGAACACCAGUGGCGAAGGCGGCUUACUGGACGAUAACUGACGCUGAGGCUCGAAAGCGUGGGGAGCAAACAGG